This 36-nucleotide ribosomal RNA is filed under the name Thanatephorus cucumeris. Its description in RNAcentral is "partial 18S ribosomal RNA". Lineage: Eukaryota; Fungi; Basidiomycota; Agaricomycetes; Cantharellales; Ceratobasidiaceae. The record is from RNAcentral.
UCGUAGGUGACCCUGCGGAAGGAUCAUUAUUGAAUU